CCUACGGGAGGCAGCAGUGGGGAAUAUUGGGCAAUGGAGGCAACUCUGACCCAGCAACGCCGCGUGAAUGAUGAAGGUCUUCGGAUUGUAAAGUUCUGUGAUGGGGGAUGAACACAAUGACGGUACCCCAAUAGCAAGCCACGGCUAACUACGUGCCAGCAGCCGCGGUAAUACGUCGGUGGCAAGCGUUAUCCGGAAUGACUGGGCGUAAAGGGUGCGUAGGUGGUUUAGUAAGUUGGCGGUGUAAUUCCGGGGCUCAACCUCGGCGCUACCGCCAAAACUAUUAGACUAGAGUGCAGGGGGGGUAAGUGGAAUUCCUAGGGUAGCGGUGGAAUGCGUAGAUAUUAGGAGGAACAUCAGGGGCGAAGGCGACUUACUGGACUGUAACUGACACUGAGGCACGAAAGCGUGGGGAGCAAACAGGAUUAGAUACCCCUGUAGUC
This 443-nucleotide ribosomal RNA is filed under the name uncultured bacterium. RNAcentral describes it as "partial 16S ribosomal RNA". It matches the Rfam family "Bacterial small subunit ribosomal RNA", at positions 338 to 795 of the family's 1533-position model. The record is from RNAcentral.